GGGAAAGACCUGGCGGCUGGGCUUUCGGGCCCGACUGACCCGGCGGGAUGGCUGCCGUAAGCCAAAAUCUCGGGAACGGUCGUAACGCGUACGGUCACCCUUCGACGGACGGGGGUUCGAUUCCCCCCAGCUCCACCA
RNAcentral lists this transfer-messenger RNA (138 nucleotides) under Actinomycetota bacterium. RNAcentral describes it as "Actinobacteria bacterium partial transfer-messenger RNA". It matches the Rfam family "transfer-messenger RNA", at positions 232 to 374 of the family's 374-position model. Rfam says of the family: Bacterial tmRNA, also known as 10Sa RNA or SsrA, is named for its dual tRNA and mRNA-like properties. The record is from RNAcentral. Lineage: Bacteria; Bacillati; Actinomycetota.